CAGUCGCCGCGGGAAUACAGAGGGUGCGAGCGUUAAUCGGAUUUACUGGGCGUAAAGCGUGCGUAGGCGGCUUUUUAAGUCGGAUGUGAAAUCCCUGAGCUUAACUUAGGAAUUGCAUUCGAUACUGGGAAGCUAGAGUAUGGGAGAGGAUGGUAGAAUUCCAGGUGUAGCGGUGAAAUGCGUAGAUAUGCGGAGGAACACCGAUGGCGAAGGCAAUCCCCUGGGCCUGUACUGACGCUCAUGCACGAAAGCGUGGGGAGCAAACAGGAUUAGAUACCCCGUAGUCCCUGUCUCUUAUACA
RNAcentral lists this ribosomal RNA (301 nucleotides) under uncultured bacterium. RNAcentral describes it as "partial 16S ribosomal RNA". It matches the Rfam family "Bacterial small subunit ribosomal RNA", at positions 509 to 808 of the family's 1533-position model. The record is from RNAcentral.